AUGCGAUAAGUAGUGUGAAUUGCAGAAUUCAGUGAAUCAUCGAAUCUUUGAACGCACAUUGCGCCCUCUGGUAUUCCGGGGGGCAUGCCUGUUCGAGCGUCAUUAAAACUACUCAAGCUAAGGUUUUACCUUCUGCUUGGUCUUGGGUCUGAGGAGUCAAAUCCUCUGUCCGAAAUUCAGUGGUGAAUUGUUUGAGCUGUGGACGUAGUAAAACUUUCUACCCGUUGCACGCGAGAAUCUAUUCUGCCAUAAACCCCCAUACUUUUCUAGUUUGACCUCGGAUCAGGUAGGGAUACCCGCUGAACUUAA
RNAcentral lists this unclassified non-coding RNA (309 nucleotides) under uncultured Pyronemataceae. Its description in RNAcentral is "partial contains 5.8S ribosomal RNA, internal transcribed spacer 2, and large subunit ribosomal RNA". The stretch from base 1 to 102 matches the Rfam family "5.8S ribosomal RNA", at positions 53 to 154 of the family's 154-position model. Lineage: Eukaryota; Fungi; Ascomycota; Pezizomycetes; Pezizales; Pyronemataceae. The record is from RNAcentral.